AUUGAACGCUGGCGGAAUGCUUUACACAUGCAAGUCGAGCGGCAGCGCGGGGCAACCUGGCGGCGAGCGGCGAACGGGUGAGUAACACAUCGGAACGUACCCUGUCGUGGGGGAUAACGAAUCGAAAGAUUCGCUAAUACCGCAUACGACCUGAGGGUGAAAGCGGGGGAUCGCAAGACCUCGCGCGAGAGGAGCGGCCGAUGUCGGAUUAGCUAGUUGGUAGGGUAAAGGCCUACCAAGGCGACGAUCCGUAGCUGGUCUGAGAGGACGACCAGCCACACUGGGACUGAGACACGGCCCAGACUCCUACGGGAGGCAGCAGUGGGGAAUUUUGGACAAUGGGGGCAACCCUGAUCCAGCCAUUCCGCGUGAGUGAAGAAGGCCUUCGGGUUGUAAAGCUCUUUCGGCAGGAACGAAACGGCGGGCUCUAACAUAGCCUGUCAAUGACGGUACCUGAAGAAGAAGCACCGGCUAACUGCGUG
RNAcentral lists this ribosomal RNA (482 nucleotides) under uncultured bacterium. RNAcentral describes it as "bacterial SSU rRNA". It matches the Rfam family "Bacterial small subunit ribosomal RNA", at positions 29 to 507 of the family's 1533-position model. The record is from RNAcentral.